This is a long non-coding RNA of Mercenaria mercenaria, 2694 nucleotides long. RefSeq lists it as uncharacterized. The record is from RefSeq and is a predicted model, not a curated record. The transcript is spliced from 4 exons. NCBI's taxonomy places the organism in Eukaryota, Metazoa, Mollusca, Bivalvia, Venerida, Veneridae.
CAGCAGAUUCGAAAGUGACAUCACGAAUGACGGGAAUAUAUCGGGAAUGAUGCACUAGUUCUUUCGCGAAUUUAUCGAUACAAAAACAAUUAACCUACAAUUUUGAACUUCAUAUUAUAUAUCUUCAUCUUUCAAUGAAAUGAUAAUAUUCCUGUCACCUCUGAAGCCAAGAGUAAGCUGUAUUAAGAAAUCGUUUAUCAGUUUUAUCAUUGAAAAAUAUACGUAAAAAUAUAACUUGAUUUGAUUUGUUUACCUUGUAUUUUCUGUACUGGGAACGAGCUGUACAAUUGCUACCGACUGCACGAGUCAUGUUCAAAAUUCAGAGUGCCCAGCUGUUGGUGUAUGUUCCUGUAUAAAUAAUUACAUCAAAGAUGGCAAUGUUUGUGCUAAAGAACUAGGUCAAACCUGCUCUUCUGGUGAAUGUGUAACUCAUGCAGAAUGCGACGAGACAUGUAAGUGCUCGGAUGGAUACAUUGACACCAACGGACUUUGUGCUGUUCCGUCUUCUACAAUCACAGCCAAGCUGUCAACCAGUGUAACUGUGAUGUCAAUUCUAAGUAUUGCAGUUCUUAAUAUUUUAUGAGAAUGCAUCUUUAGCCAGACGUAAUUAUUAACCAGAGAAAACUCAGUUGAUUCUUCUGACGUUCUAUUUUUAAAUAUACAUACAUUAACAUGAGAUUCUUCUUAAUUGGAUUUUACACACGUGCAAAUGUACGUUAAUUUGUUUGAAGUCCAUAUAUAUUUUCCUAAGAGUUUUGAUUUAAUGACUGUAGGUAUUUGUUCUCUUAAUAUUGAAAUAGAUCUACGUUUCCUCCGACUGUAUUAAGCGAAACUGUCAUACAGAAAUAUUUAGGAUGUAUAUGUGUUUGUAACUAACAGAACAUGGGCACGCCGAUUGAUUUUAAUCAAUCAAAAAUGUUGAAGAACAGACUUGCAACAUUUUAGUACAUGAAGAACUCGAAUUUCUUGAAACUGAUGUAUAGCCAGAAAUCUGCACUUGAAAUUUCUCCUUUACAGUUUGAUUUUUUUAUUUGGUUUUUGUGGCUCCAUAAAUCGAGCAAUAUGUGCAGUAAAAGAACUGGCAGGUAACGGAUUUUGCGUUGUACAACUUUGAAAGAAUAAAAGCAAAAAACACUACCAAUCAAACACAAGCUGAUAAUAGAGACAGCGAAAUUGACGACGAUGCUUAUCGGAAUAAAACUGCUUGGUGAUUUCGUGAAGCAUUUAUUUUUUCGAAACAUUGUUAUACUACAGGACAAAAAAUUCAGACUACAGAACAAAUAAAUCAUAUUAUGACAGACUGUAUCUUUAGUUACAUGUACGAGUACAUCUUUCUAGUAAUCAAUAGGUCUGCCGUGAUGUAGUUCUUAGUUCGCCCUGGAGCUAUUUCUAACCUUUAAUGAGAAUAACAUAUUUUCACCAAUGCAGAACAAGUCAUGUUUAAGUACUAUGAAAGUACAUGUUCAAAUUUUACUCAUUGCUGAUUCACAUAAUUCAGAUAGCUCAGAACUUUUUAAAUGAUUAUAUUUGUAAACUUGACUUUGUCUUGAACUUAAAUGCCCCGUUCGGGCAACAGAAAAUGACUCAUACAAAUACUAGUAAUAGAUUAAUAUUUGCUUCGAUAAAACACAUGUCAACUUUUCACGCCUUGUGUGAGUUUUCGUUAGAUUUAGAGGAAAAUAUUAGUGUACUUAAAUUGAGAAAAGUUCAGCUGUUUAAGUUCUAGAUCAGCAGUUUUAUUUAGGAUGUGGAUAUGUUUCAACGAAAGGCGUAAGAGCUUAAUCAUGUAGCAUAUUUAGAAAUACAAUACGAUUGGAUGACUUGGUGUGAUGUAUUGGCUGGAACGGGCUUGUAGGCAGUCAUGAGUAAUGUCUUAAGUGAUAUGCAUACUGUUAAGCAUAGAAGAAAUAUUGGGCAACAUAUUUCAGAAAUGGAAUCAACAAAAAUAUCGGCAUAAACAUUUCAUUAAAAAUAUACACAAUUAUUGAUUCGAUUAAUUUUUUCCAGAUUUCUGCAUAAUGGUUUUGGGAUGUGUAUGUACAUGUAUUAUCAUAGUUAUCAUGCAUGUGAGAUGUUAUUCCUGUCGAAAGCCAUAUGAGCAUGACUAAAUGAUAUUGCUUAUUUAGGAUUAUAUAUUUUUCCUAACUAACCAAUGGAUACAAUUAACAAAAUUUCGUUUUUAUUGUGGACAUUUGUAUUGUUAAGCACAUUUGUUUUGGGUUGAUAAGUGUACGAAUUUUGUUGAUACCGGUGUAAGUAGUUCGGAAUGACACUAAAGUCUGGGGUUUCUAUUAAAAAUAAAAGAUUCACUAUGUAGAUUUUUAAUUGAUUAUUAAGAAGCUAAUUCUAAAAAGCUUUGUUUAUUGUGUAUAAAGAUGUUACCGAAUAUUGAGUGGAGUUACGAUAUUAAAGACUUCGGAAACAAAGACGAUAGAAUUGGGAAACUAAUAAAAUAAUAAUUGUUGAAUAUUUUUGACUGAUUAAUGCUGCAAAGGUUUGAUUUGCUAGACAAAGUAUAUUUUAUACAAUUCUAGAAUGUCUUUCCGGUAAAAUGUCAUGUGUAAGAAAUAUGUAAUAAACUAGAGUGCUUAUUCAAUGAUUCGAAUGUUACUUCAAUCAGUUCAUUCCUGGCAUUGUAAUAUGUUUUGUAACAACUGCAUGCAUGUAAAGAUAUUUUAGUAAAUACAAAACAGA